GAUCAUGGCUCAGGAUGAACGCUAGCUACAGGCUUAACACAUGCAAGUCGAGGGGAAACGACAUCGAAAGCUUGCUUUUGAUGGGGCGUCGACCGGCGCACGGGUGAGUAACGCGUAUCCAACCUGCCCACCACUUGGGGAUAACCUUGCGAAAGUAAGACUAAUACCCAAUGAUAUCCCACGAAGGCAUCCGAAUGGGAUUAAAGAUUUAUCGGUGAUGGAUGGGGAUGCGUCUGAUUAGCUUGUUGGCGGGGUAACGGCCCACCAAGGCUACGAUCAGUAGGGGGUUCUGAGAGGAAGGUCCCCCACAUUGGAACUGAGACACGGUCCAAACUCCUACGGGAGGCAGCAGUGAGGAAUAUUGGUCAAUGGGCGAGAGCCUGAACCAGCCAAGUAGCGUGCAGGAUGACGGCCCUAUGGGUUGUAAACUGCUUUUAUAAGGGAAUAAAGUGAGUCUCGUGAGACUUUUUGCAUGUACCUUAUGAAUAAGGACCGGCUAAUUCCGUG
This 507-nucleotide ribosomal RNA is filed under the name uncultured bacterium. RNAcentral's name for it is "bacterial SSU rRNA". It matches the Rfam family "Bacterial small subunit ribosomal RNA", at positions 15 to 507 of the family's 1533-position model. The record is from RNAcentral.